Molecule: long non-coding RNA, 298 nt
Filed under: Mytilus galloprovincialis (Mediterranean mussel)
Lineage: Eukaryota; Metazoa; Mollusca; Bivalvia; Mytilida; Mytilidae
Source: RNAcentral
UCCUGGUGACCUCGUGCAAUUGGAUUUUUCUAGGUCUGUUUGCUUUCAUAUUAUAGAUUAACAAAUAACUUAAUCAUCGUUUUUACCUGUAUAAGAAUAGUUUUGUGUGGAUCAAAUUAGUGAACAAAAUACUCAUCGUUGUUCCAUUUUCAAGGUUGACAUUCUUUUCUUUUUAAUAGCUCUUACAUGCCAAUUUCUAGCUGAGGGUUUAAAUUGAAUGUCAUAUGCAACCGGAUUCAAUGAAGUCAAUGAAUUAUUCACUUAAAAGUGAGAAAUUCUUCAGCUAUGUUACUUUUUG